GACGAACGCUGGCGGCGUGCCUAACACAUGCAAGUCGAGCGAGGAACUUCGGUUCCUAGCGGCGGACGGGUGAGUAACACGUGGGUAACCUGGCUCAUAGAGGGGGAUAGCCUCUCGAAAGGGAGAUUAAUACCGCAUAAGAAGCGAAAGUCGCAUGGCUUUAGCUUUAAAGGAGUAAUCCGCUAUGAGAUGGGCCCGCGGCGCAUUAGCUAGUUGGUGAGGUAACGGCUUACCAAGGCGACGAUGCGUAGCCGACCUGAGAGGGUGAUCGGCCACAUUGGAACUGAGACACGGUCCAGACUCCUACGGGAGGCAGCAGUGGGGAAUAUUGCACAAUGGGCGAAAGCCUGAUGCAGCAACGCCGCGUGAGUGAUGACGGCCUUCGGGUUGUAAAGCUCUGUCUUUGGGGACGAUAAUGACGGUACCCAAGGAGGAAGCCACGGCUAACUACGUGCCAGCAGCCGCAGUAA
This 470-nucleotide ribosomal RNA is filed under the name uncultured bacterium. RNAcentral's name for it is "partial 16S ribosomal RNA". It matches the Rfam family "Bacterial small subunit ribosomal RNA", at positions 28 to 523 of the family's 1533-position model. The record is from RNAcentral.